GGAACUUUCGGAUCACCCAAACGGGGAAUUCGUAUCACCGAAAACGAAAAAGGAAUUCAGGGUGGAAGCCUACCCGAGUUUCAUUCCCUUCAUAGAUAGAAAAAAAUUGACUUCGCACCCAUAUAUUUUUGCCCCUGUCUGCUACUCGGGGCAUUGGUGGUUAUGGCUGAUAAAUGCAAGAAAGCGGAAAUGUCAAAUACUUGACCCGCUACACAAAAAAGCUCCCACCGAUGAGAGAAAGGCCAUUAAUAAAUUCACUGGAUACGUAUUUUCAAGAUUGAUAACAUAUGCCGGCGGGGAACCUCUUCAGAAAGGGGAAAGGGAGAAUGAAAUUAAAUCACCAUAUGUUAAAAUAUCUGGCUAAAA
Non-coding RNA from Arachis ipaensis, 366 nucleotides. The record is from RefSeq and is a predicted model, not a curated record. NCBI's taxonomy places the organism in Eukaryota, Viridiplantae, Streptophyta, Magnoliopsida, Fabales, Fabaceae.